This is a long non-coding RNA of Papaver somniferum (opium poppy), 1023 nucleotides long. RefSeq lists it as uncharacterized. The record is from RefSeq and is a predicted model, not a curated record. NCBI's taxonomy places the organism in Eukaryota, Viridiplantae, Streptophyta, Magnoliopsida, Ranunculales, Papaveraceae. The transcript has 5 exons.
AAAAAACUGAACAGAGAAACUGGGUUCUCUUUUUUUUUUUCUUCUCUUCUCCGUUUUCCGUCAGCUUCUUCUAUAGAUUUCCUGUUGAAACGAAGAUUUAAUAGAGGAAUUCAACAUGCAGUUAUACUGAUUCAUCACCAGGUUUUGUGAAUCUCUUAUCAUCUGGUUUUGCGAAUCUCAGAUAUUCUCGAAGAAAUCAAUGUUGAUGAUAAGAACUUCCUGAUGUUGCUGAUGAAUAUAUGGGUUCAAAGGUAUAGAAAGGAAUUGGGCCCAACAAAUGAGGCGAAACAUGUAACUGUUAUGGAAGCAGUCACAUCAAUUCAACCAAAUAGAAUUGCUCCCUCCCGUAUCGUUAUCAUCCAACUCUCCUUGAAACCUAGCUUCACGCUCUCUUUCUGGCUGCAAGAAAAUCAUAAGUCAGAAAUUCUGGAGUCCCCCAUAUUUAUAGUACAACUAUCAGGUUAACUCUUGCAGGUGUGUGGAUUUCAUCAUGGCUGUCCAAGCAUUCACAAGUAGUGGGGUGUUUCAUACUUUUCUUUGCUGCUUAUACUUGCAUCUUUAUUUUCAUACAAAUUACUCUUAUUCUUUGCCUGAUAUUGCGGAGUUGUCGUUACAAAUCUUUUGCAGGUUUUUUUAGUGAUUUUUCUUGGACAAAAGAUAGAGAUAUACUGAAGAAGAAGCCUACAGAAAGUAAGCAAAUUACAACAAUCCAAAGGUAGAAAGGAGUUAGCUACAGAACAUCCUCAAGAGUCAAGACCCCCCAAAAACCAAAAACGUUUAUAAUUCUAGGAACACUUGAUAACAAAGGAUCUCAGCCCUAAAUGUUUUUUGGAGUGGUAUUUUUGAUUUAUUAUCUUCUAAAUGAAAUUGUUUGAAUGUCCUUAUUUUUGGAAAAAAAAUGAAAAAUGCAUAUGACAAAGAUAUUUGUUUGCCGACGUGCAACGCACGUGCACUCCACUUGUACUUCUUAAUGGUUUCUGGAUCUCUCAUGUCCACAUUCAAUGCUAUAGCUUGCUUGCGAAA